CUGUGGACCCGAAUUCGCUUGAAGUAAAGUUUCCUAGUUUAGCUCGCUCGCUUUAUCCGCUUCAGCUAUAGCUUUAGUAAUUAUAACGUUUUUCUGUGUUUGAUUUGGUUGGGGAUGUAUUUUUUUUUAAUCAUUGAAUAAGAAAUAGGAUUUGUUACCUUCUUUGUUGUUGUUCAGGUUUGUUGAUUGUUUGAAGUAGACAAUCUUGGUUUUUAUGAAUUGGGCUCGAUGUCCUCGGUCUAUCUUAAUGAAUUUUUGGCCCAGUUUGAAGUUUUCUCUCAAUCUUUGCUUCGUACUGUGAGUUUCAAUGGAGAAUAUUAUUGGAAGGAAACAUAUUUUUGUGGGAUGUGGUUGGCACGGUUGUUAUAUGGAUUUAGAGUUCUGUUAUAAUAAUUUUUACAGCCUCCAAAUUAAGGGAGCAAAAUUAAGCUUUUCACUAAAUUAAUUUUUGCAGCCUCCGAGUGGUAACAUGCCAGUUAUGAAUUACGAUAUGCUACUAAUGCUGAGACCACCAUGAAACUAAACACUUCGUAUUGACAUAAUUGUCUCUAUGGACGAGUGAAAAGGUUUAAGCAAGAGCUAAUAUGAAAUUUUUGGUUCUGAUUUUUCUGCCAUUUGAUUGUAUAUAACCCCUAGCUAGUCUUGUUUAAGUGGUUUAAAUUUACUUAUAUGCUGUUUAUAGAGUAAAUUAUAAACUAGCAGUCAUCAUCUGUGCUCUAGAUGCUUUCUCAGAGAAUAUUCCGGUCCAGACUUGCAGCUGUGAAUUGUUAGCUAGUUAUUACUUUGUCUCUCUCUCUCUCUCUCUGCUCUUUUGAAAUCAAUAAUAAAAAAAAAAGUUCUGUUUUUCUGUAUGUGCAUGAAAAC
Molecule: unclassified non-coding RNA, 864 nt
Filed under: Hevea brasiliensis (rubber tree)
Lineage: Eukaryota; Viridiplantae; Streptophyta; Magnoliopsida; Malpighiales; Euphorbiaceae
Source: RNAcentral